AAUGAGAGAAUGACAAAUUUAAUUUUUUCUUCCUAAUUUUCAGCUUUUUCCUCCUGAAAAAAAAAAUCAAAUCCAACUAAAAACACUAAAAAUUAAGAGAAAAAAAUUAGAUUUGUCAUUCUCCCAUU
This 128-nucleotide microRNA precursor is filed under the name Gossypium hirsutum (cotton). Its description in RNAcentral is "MIR7504 microRNA precursor family". It matches the Rfam family "MIR7504 microRNA precursor family". Lineage: Eukaryota; Viridiplantae; Streptophyta; Magnoliopsida; Malvales; Malvaceae. The record is from Rfam by way of RNAcentral.